RNAcentral lists this unclassified non-coding RNA (235 nucleotides) under Sporobolomyces koalae. RNAcentral's name for it is "partial internal transcribed spacer region". The stretch from base 1 to 46 matches the Rfam family "Eukaryotic small subunit ribosomal RNA", at positions 1786 to 1831 of the family's 1831-position model. Lineage: Eukaryota; Fungi; Basidiomycota; Microbotryomycetes; Sporidiobolales; Sporidiobolaceae. The record is from RNAcentral.
AAGUCGUAACAAGGUUUCCGUAGGUGAACCUGCGGAAGGAUCAUUAGUGAAUAAAUAGGGUGUCCAACUUAACUUGGAACCCGACCUUCUCACAUCUAACCCUGUGCAUCUGUUUAUUAGGCGAAAGCGGCUCUUCGGAGCUGUGGCAACCUAUCAACUUACAAAACACGAGUCUAUGAAUGUAUUUAAUUUUUAUAACAAAUAAAAACUUUCAACAACGGAUCUCUUGGCUCUC